This 26-nucleotide non-coding RNA is filed under the name Mus musculus (house mouse). The record is from RNAcentral. Lineage: Eukaryota; Metazoa; Chordata; Mammalia; Rodentia; Muridae.
UGUCAGCGAGGCUUCCCUGUUAGAUA